Molecule: long non-coding RNA, 637 nt
Filed under: Nicotiana benthamiana
Lineage: Eukaryota; Viridiplantae; Streptophyta; Magnoliopsida; Solanales; Solanaceae
Description: long non-coding RNA (NBEN_LNC027764)
Source: RNAcentral
GUUUGGUUGUGCUUGGGUUUGAGAUUCAUACUUCUAAAUCGGGUUUUUGGGUUGGGUCUCUAUUGAGUUGGAACCGUGGGUCAAAUUAACCCAGUCUAUUUGAGUAUAAUGUAAAUAGAUAAGGGGUAUUUUGGGUAGUCUAGGUUAGAGAAUCUUUCACAACAAGAAUAGGAAGCUUCUAGUUGGGGUUGUUAUUGAAUUUCAGAGUAUAUGAUAGUUUAACUUGGGUAACAAGUCAAAAUUUUAGGAAUACCUAAGCUAGAACAAGAAUUGAAAAAGGGUUGAAUUGCGAAAAAUCAAAACCUAAGGGCUGCGCUACUUGCCUUGCCUAUAAAGGCAUCAAUUCUUGCCUUUCAAGGCAAGACUUGAGUGCUAGAAUUCAAAGUAUACACAGACGGCCAAAUUUCUACUAUUUUAUUGAUUUCAAAAAUUUCCCCAUUCUAAACUACCUUCUAGUUCAUUUGAGAUUGAUAUGAACUGAUUUGAGUCUUCUAGUAGGGGUUGUUAGUGAAUUUCAGAAUGAAUAGUAGUUUAACGUAGGUAACAAGUCAGUAAUUGAGGAACACCUAAUCUAAAAUGACAGUUAAAGAAGGGGCAGGAUGUAAAACUGGAAAAGCUGUGUCUGCCCUACUUUGUU